CCCUGUGUCGAAAGUGACUGUGGUGUCUGGUUGCCAGGUCAUUGAUAAUGCAGGGAGAGAAAAUUGAAAGUCUUUCCCGUGUUUGCAGGAUUGCUUGUUCCUGUUUAACCCUGAAUCUUUCACACA
This is a small nucleolar RNA of Trichomycterus rosablanca, 126 nucleotides long. RefSeq annotates it as small nucleolar RNA SNORA71. NCBI's taxonomy places the organism in Eukaryota, Metazoa, Chordata, Actinopteri, Siluriformes, Trichomycteridae. The record is from RefSeq and is a predicted model, not a curated record. The transcript has a single exon.